RNAcentral lists this ribosomal RNA (511 nucleotides) under uncultured bacterium. Its description in RNAcentral is "partial 16S ribosomal RNA". It matches the Rfam family "Bacterial small subunit ribosomal RNA", at positions 28 to 507 of the family's 1533-position model. The record is from RNAcentral.
GACAAACGCUGGCGGCAUGCCUAACACAUGCAAGUCGAACGGACAGAACAGGGAAGCUUUUCGGAGUGGAACUGGAAAGUUAUUGGCUGAUUGGUGAGUAACGCGUUUUCAACCUACCUUGUAAAUGGGAAUAACCUCGAGAAAUCGAAGCUAAUACCCCAUAAUAACCUUUCUUCGCAUGUAGUAAGGUGGAAAGGCGGCCUUACCGCUGUCGAUACAAUAUGGUUCCGCGUCUGAUUAGCUAGUUGGUGAGGUAAAGGCUCACCAAGGCGACGAUCAGUAGCCGGCGUGAGAGGGUGAACGGCCACAUUGGGACUGAGACACGGACCAAACUCCUACGGGAGGCAGCAGUGGGGAAUCUUCCGCAAUGGGCGAAAGCCUGACGGAGCAAUGCCGCGUGAGUGAAGAAGGCCUUCGGGUUGUAAAACUCUGUCCUUAUCGAAGAGAGAGUGUUGUAGUAACUGAAAAUAAUAGGACGGUAGAUGAGGAGGAAGCCCCGGCUAACUAUGUG